RNAcentral lists this ribosomal RNA (497 nucleotides) under uncultured bacterium. RNAcentral describes it as "partial 16S ribosomal RNA". It matches the Rfam family "Bacterial small subunit ribosomal RNA", at positions 28 to 507 of the family's 1533-position model. The record is from RNAcentral.
GAUGAACGCUGGCGGCGUGCCUAAUACAUGCAAGUCGAGCGAACAGACGAGGAGCUUGCUCCUCUGACGUUAGCGGCGGACGGGGGAGUAACACGUGGAUAACCUACCUAUAAGACUGGGAUAACUUCGGGAAACCGGAGCUAAUACCGGAUAAUAUAUUGAACCGCAUGGUUCAAUAGUGAAAGACGGUUUUGCUGUCACUUAUAGAUGGAUCCGCGCCGCAUUAGCUAGUUGGUAAGGUAACGGCUUACCAAGGCAACGAUGCGUAGCCGACCUGAGAGGGUGAUCGGCCACACUGGAACUGAGACACGGUCCAGACUCCUACGGGAGGCAGCAGUAGGGAAUCUUCCGCAAUGGGCGAAAGCCUGACGGAGCAACGCCGCGUGAGUGAUGAAGGUCUUCGGAUCGUAAAACUCUGUUAUUAGGGAAGAACAAAUGUGUAAGUAACUAUGCACGUCUUGACGGUACCGAAACAGAAAGCCACGGCUAACUACGUG